RNAcentral lists this ribosomal RNA (71 nucleotides) under Escherichia coli. Lineage: Bacteria; Pseudomonadati; Pseudomonadota; Gammaproteobacteria; Enterobacterales; Enterobacteriaceae. The record is from RNAcentral.
CCUGGCGGCAUUAGCGCGGUGGUCCCACCUGACCACAUGCCGAACUCAGAAGUGAAACGCCGUAGCGCCGA